CCUACGGGAGUCAGCAGUGGGGGAUAUUGCACAAUGGGGGAAACCCUGAUGCAGCGACGCCGCGUGGGCGAAGAAGUAUUUCGGUAUGUAAAGCCCUAUCAGCAGGGAAGAAGAAAUGACGGUACCUGAGUAAGAAGCACCGGCUAAAUACGUGCCAGCAGCCGCGGUAAUACGUAUGGUGCACGCGUUAUCCGGAUUUAUUGGGUUUAAAGGGUGCGUAGGCGGGCAUUUAAGCCGGCGGGAAAAUGUCGGGGCUCAACCCCGGCCUGCCGUCGGAACUGGGUGACUUGAGUGGGCGAGAGGUAUGCGGAAUGCGUGGUGUAGCGGUGAAAUGCAUAGAUAUCACGCAGAACCCCGAUUGCGAAGGCAGCAUACCGGCGCCCUACUGACGCUGAGGCACGAAAGUGCGGGUAUCGAACAGGAUUAGAUACCCUUGUAGUC
This 441-nucleotide ribosomal RNA is filed under the name uncultured bacterium. RNAcentral describes it as "partial 16S ribosomal RNA". It matches the Rfam family "Bacterial small subunit ribosomal RNA", at positions 338 to 795 of the family's 1533-position model. The record is from RNAcentral.